AUGGAGGGGAAGCCCAAGCUUUACUACUUCAAUGGAAGAGGCAGGAUGGAAUCCAUCUGAUGGCUCUUGGCUGCAGCUAGAGUAGAGGUAAGAUGUGGAUUUAUUCAGUGGAACCCUGAUGUAUGGACAAGUGCCCAUGGUCGAAACUCAUGGAAUGAAUUAGGUAGAAACCAGAGCCUUCCUAAGAUACAUAGCUGCAAAAUAUGACUUGAUUCACAUGUAUGUAGAAGGCUUGAAGGACCUGAGUGACAUGAUUAUGUUCCAGCCACUCUCUCUGCCUGAAGAGAAGAUGAAUCUUGCAUACAUCCUUGAAAGAGCCACUACAAGAUUAUUCCCUGUCUGUGAGAAGGUAAGCACUGAGAGACCACAGACAAGAUUUUCUUGUGGGCAAUCGGCUGAGCUGGGCUGAUACACAGCAACCUGAAGUCAUCUUAAUGACUGAAGAGUGCAAACCCAGUGUCCUCUUGGGCUUUCCUCUGCUACAGGUAAUGCUAUCCAAAUAUAUUCUUUUGCAUUUUAGAAAUUCAAGGCCAGAAUCAGCCACAUCCCCACAAUUAAUAAAUUUCUCCAACCUGGAAGCCAAAGGAAGCCUCCACUGGAUGAAGAAUCCAUUGAGACUGUGAAGAAUAUAUUUAAA
RNAcentral lists this long non-coding RNA (637 nucleotides) under Homo sapiens (human). RNAcentral describes it as "non-protein coding lnc-GSTA2-2:1". Lineage: Eukaryota; Metazoa; Chordata; Mammalia; Primates; Hominidae. The record is from RNAcentral.